AUCUGGCUAGUUCAGUCGGUAGAGCGUGUGACUCUUGAUCUCAGAGUCGUGAGUUCGAGCCCCACGCUGGGUG
This 73-nucleotide transfer RNA is filed under the name Ailuropoda melanoleuca (giant panda). It matches the Rfam family "tRNA". Rfam says of the family: Transfer RNA (tRNA) molecules are approximately 80 nucleotides in length. The record is from Rfam by way of RNAcentral. Lineage: Eukaryota; Metazoa; Chordata; Mammalia; Carnivora; Ursidae.